Molecule: ribosomal RNA, 301 nt
Filed under: uncultured bacterium
Lineage: Bacteria
Description: partial 16S ribosomal RNA
Rfam family: Bacterial small subunit ribosomal RNA
Source: RNAcentral
CAGAGCCGCGGUAAAACGGAGGGUGCAAGCGUUAAUCGGAAUUACUGGGCGUAAAGCGUGCGCAGGCGGUUUGUUAAGACAGAUGUGAAAUCCCCGGGCUCAACCUGGGAACUGCAUUUGUGACUGGCAAGCUAGAGUCUGGCAGAGGGGGGUGGAAUUCCGCGUGUAGCAGUGAAAUGCGUAGAUAUGCGGAGGAACACCGAUGGCGAAGGCAGCCCCCUGGGCCAACACUGACGCUCAUGCACGAAAGCGUGGGGAGCAAACAGGAUUAGAUACCCCUGUAGUCCCUGUCUCUUAUACA